RNAcentral lists this ribosomal RNA (483 nucleotides) under uncultured bacterium. RNAcentral describes it as "bacterial SSU rRNA". It matches the Rfam family "Bacterial small subunit ribosomal RNA", at positions 28 to 507 of the family's 1533-position model. The record is from RNAcentral.
GAUGAACGCUAGCGACAGGCCUAAACAUGCAAGUCGAGGGGCAGCACAAGGAGCAAUCUGAGGUGGCGACCGGCGCACGGGUGAGUAACACGUAUGCAACCUACCUGUAAGAGGGGAAUAACCCGUUGAAAAACGGACUAAUACCGCAUAACACUGUAGAACCGCAUGGUUUGACAGUUAAACAUUUAUGGCUUACAGAUGGGCAUGCGCAUGAUUAGCUAGUUGGUGAGGUAACGGCUCACCAAGGCAACGAUCAUUAGGGGUUCUGAGAGGAAGGUCCCCCACACUGGUACUGAGACACGGACCAGACUCCUACGGGAGGCAGCAGUGAGGAAUAUUGGUCAAUGGGCGAGAGCCUGAACCAGCCAAGUCGCGUGAAGGAUGAAGGUUUUAUGAAUUGUAAACUUCUUUUGCAGGGGAAUAAAGUGUCCGACGUGUCGGAUUUUGUAUGUACUCUGCGAAUAAGGAUCGGCUAACUCCGUG